GGGGCUGACUUGGAUUUCGACAGAUUUCUUGUCGCACAGAUAGCAUGCCAAGUGCUGCUUGUAAAACAGCAACAAAAAUAACUGUAAACAACGCAGAUUACGCUCCAGCUUACGCUAAAGCUGCGUGAGUUAAUCUCCUUUUGGAGCUGGACUGAUUAGAAUUUCUAGCGUUUUAAUCACUCCAUAACCUUAAGCUAGACGCUCUUAAAAGGUGGUUCGCCUUUUAAACUAAGAAACAAGAACUCUUGAAACUACCUCAAGGUUUUAGAAAGUUGGACCAGAGCUAGUUUUAAGGCUAAAAAGCUAACCAAUUUUCUAAGCAUUGUAGAAGUUUGUGUUUAGGACAAGAUUUUUGGACUGGGGUUCGAUUCCCCACAGCUCCACCA
RNAcentral lists this transfer-messenger RNA (386 nucleotides) under Helicobacter pylori. It matches the Rfam family "transfer-messenger RNA". From Rfam's summary of the family: Bacterial tmRNA, also known as 10Sa RNA or SsrA, is named for its dual tRNA and mRNA-like properties. Its role is to liberate the mRNA from a stalled ribosome. RNAcentral also lists the same sequence under 1 other name. The record is from RNAcentral. Lineage: Bacteria; Pseudomonadati; Campylobacterota; Epsilonproteobacteria; Campylobacterales; Helicobacteraceae.